Long non-coding RNA from Lutra lutra (Eurasian river otter), 682 nucleotides. RefSeq lists it as uncharacterized. The transcript is spliced from 2 exons. The record is from RefSeq and is a predicted model, not a curated record. NCBI's taxonomy places the organism in Eukaryota, Metazoa, Chordata, Mammalia, Carnivora, Mustelidae.
UUGUCAACUUCCCUGACUUUCAGGUUGUUCCUUGGUAACACAGGAGGGUAUUGCUUCUGGUGAAAACUGAGGAAUUUGAUAGAAAGUUCUUCAGGUUCUGUAGUGUUUAUAAGUCACUAAUGAGUUGUACAUUAAAAAAGGGAACCAUCUGAUCAUUUAUGGAUGUGAUUCUUAAUCUCCAAGGAACAUUCAUGAUCUCUUGUCAAAGACCUAUUAAUGUCUUGAGAAGAACAUUCCAAUUUCUACUUUUUAUUUCCCUCCCUUCCCCCAUAGCCAUACCUUCUCAACUGCACUUGGCUUAAGUUCCAAUUGAAGGGGCUACUUCACUUUUCUGAAGAGCCAUUGAGAGCUGUUCUGAUAGCGGAUGUGAGUGAGAAACCAGGAACCCUGAAAGGCCAGUGAUGGAAUGACCUAAAACCAAGAUUCCAUCUGGAAGAAGGAGUAAAAUAUGGAAAAGUGCAAAGAUCUUCUGGUGUCAACUCAUGCAGAUUUAGUGCUAGAAUGGACUGAAAUCUAUCAGGAAAACAAACCAUUUUCAUUCCCUCUCUUCUUCUUCCCUUCUCUGUUGCCUUGGUGGGAUCCUCAGUCCAUCAUCUCUACAUCAAGUUUUGUGCCUUCAACUAUUGCCUGUGAUGGAGUAGUCAAACUAAAUAAAAUAUUGGAAAAUCCUUAUCUAUGAAUA